Molecule: microRNA, 22 nt
Filed under: Picea abies (Norway spruce)
Lineage: Eukaryota; Viridiplantae; Streptophyta; Pinopsida; Pinales; Pinaceae
Description: pab-miR11523b
Source: miRBase by way of RNAcentral
UCUGAGCAGAUUCAAUGCCCGA